Molecule: ribosomal RNA, 292 nt
Filed under: uncultured bacterium
Lineage: Bacteria
Description: partial 16S ribosomal RNA
Source: RNAcentral
GGACUACCCGGGUUUCUAAUCCUGUUUGAUCCCCACGCUUUCGCAUCUCAGCGUCAAUAUUGGGCCAGAUAGCCGCCUUCGCCACCGGUGUUCCUCCUGAUAUCUACGUAUUUCACCACUACACCAGGAAUUCCACUAUCCUCUCCCAUAUUCAAGCCAAGCAGUAUCAAGUGCACUUCCCGGGUUGAGCCCAGGGCUUUCACACCUGACUUAUUUGGCCGCCUACAUGCGCUUUACGCCCAAUGAUUCCGAACAACGCUAGGACCCCUCGUCUUACCGCGGCUGCUGGCAC